Molecule: long non-coding RNA, 5750 nt
Organism: Xenopus laevis (African clawed frog)
Lineage: Eukaryota; Metazoa; Chordata; Amphibia; Anura; Pipidae
Exons: 3
Source: RefSeq, a predicted model, not a curated record
UUCAUGGACAUGUCUUUUUUCAACCUUACUUACUAUGUUACUAUGUUACUAUGUCACACUCAACACUCCGCUGGUAUAGAUACUGCAGUUGAGAAAACAGGUCUAUCAGUGCAUAUUUUUGCAUUUCUGUAUCUAAAUCUGUCCCCGUGUAGGUGGACAGGAGCAUAGUGGCUGAGUGUGACACUGCCCUUAUAACUAUAUUUUUUUCUUUAUAAAUAGGAAAGGAAAAUAACUUUCAUUAUAGAGAGUUAUAUUGUACUUCACUAACAAGGUUUAUAAAAUAUGAACUGAAAAGCUGGAUCCAAUUAGAUUUAUUAGGAUCAUUUGAUCAGUUGAUUCUAGAAUAGAAAAUGCGGUUGGCAGUUGACCUCUGUCUAUGUAUGUCUAUGUGGUUGCAUCUGUCUGUGAGGGCUAAAUGAUUGGAUCUCACAGGAAAUGGGUUGUUUGUGGCUGGCUUCACAAGGAUACAUGUCUUCAUACAAUAGACUCAGAACAAAUCUAUGCAGUUUACUCACUGCUCUCUGCUAUAAAAGCAAAUGCGUGCCUCUAUUUUUAGACCUCUGCAAGGAAAGAAAAUUGGAAUGAUAACAUAUAGAAACAUACACUGUGGUGCAAGAAACUAAAAUGUAUUUGAAUAAAAAUACAAGUAACUCAACUAAACGGCUUUAGGUUUUUAUCUCCUAAAGCCCAAACUUACUUGGGACAACAUUUUGAACAUUUUAAAAUGCUUUCCGAUUUUCUGUUUUCUCAAGCUUUUAUGGAUUUAUUGUGUCUUUAAACUUGAUCUUUUAAAUGGUAUGCUUUUUUUUUUUUUUGCAUCAGAGCACCUGAUAAGAAUAUAAAUCCCAGAAAAAGCCAAAUCCUCCCUUUGAAGUUUCAGCCUUUAAAAAUGGUUUGGCCGCUAGAAACCCCUGAGGGCGUGUAUGUUUUUUUCCCUUCUCUUUCAACCCUUUCCCUGAAUGACUAAAGGGCCGGAUCAUUUUAUGGGCGGCUGCACCAAAUUUGAAAGUUGUCUGCAUAGGAAGGAAUGACAACUAAACUGAAACUAGGGUCAUGAAACCAAUUGUCUACUUGGCCUCAGUCCUUUCGUUCACACACAAUGCUGGCAUUAUCUGCACAAACAAUGGCCGAGGAGUUUGGAAAUUAGCACUCCUUCAACUGCAAGGUCCAGUCUUUUCCCAAAGCUAUUUCAGUGCUAGAUCACUGCACAUUUAAAUUCCUCCUCUUGGGAGAACUUUCACUGAAGGGUCAGUGGCUUUCAUUAAAUACUAUGAUAUGGUGAAAACACAAAUUCCAUGUUUAGACAAAAACAACUUAAAUUAACUUAAUACAGUUAUAUGAAUUUUUCAAAAACCAAUGGGAAAGUGAUGCUAAAAGUAUGCACAAUUUGAGAAUUUUUUUAUAUAUCUCAGCCUUUUCCCUUAGACGCAAUUUUUGCAUCUUAAGGCUUAUGGCAAUUGGUGUAUAUUGCCAGAGCCCUUUCUCCGAGAACCACAGUGAUUAAAACAUUGCAUUUACUGAGAGAAGCUUCUCAUUCAUGUGAAUGAGGAACAAGCUGUGUAAGACAGAAGCUUUAGCCAGGAGGAGGAGAUUGCUUAGGAAUUUGGAAUUUAACAUACCUGGGUGACCCCUGAGUCUGCCAUAAAAAAAGCACAUUUCCCACUGAGACUAAUGAGAAGCUGCUGUCAGUGAACAUAGUGUUGUGAUAAGUGCAGAUCUCAUCGAAAGGACCGUGACGACAUAAGACAAAGUGGAAGUAUUAAUGCAAACAAGUGUUUCUCAAAUGAAACAUCAAUUGUAAUGUGUUUCAUGUUUUAGAUUGCAAAGCAAAGAAUAGAAGGCAUUUCUAUGAAUUGGCUAUGUCCCCAAGUUGUGGUUCUGUUGCUAACCAGCUUAAAAAUCUUAUUUAUAUGUUUAGAAUACUUGCAAAAAAAAAGUCAUAAUUUAAUUUAAUAGGGUCAAAUAUGAAAAUACAAAGACAAUAGCUGUAGACAAGUCUCCCCUCACCUUAAAAAAUCUAGUUUUCACUUUUCACAGUGUAUACCAUUUAUACCAGGUUUACCGUGCCUUUAAAUUCUACGCUAUCAUGGACAACUGAGAACGUUUCUUGUCCACAUCAUUUUGAUUAUGACUUUCUUCUAUCAAAAUGAUUUGUCUUUCGAAGGAUGAAAAGAGUUUCUGCAAAUUAUAUCACAGCAAAUGGUGCAAUGAAGCUUCACAAGUGGUAAUCUCUUCUGCUGUUACCAGACACAAAUUUUUAGCCUUGUUGCUUUUGACAGGCCCAGCUGGGGUUUCUUUUUAAGAGGAAGACCCCUCCUUCCUUUACUGCCAUCUGUUCAAGCGUUUCAUGCUCAGCCUAACAUAUUGUAGUGCAGAGCGUGAGGGAUGGGGCACAUAUUUUUACGGCUGGUUGGCUGAGGAUGGCCUGCAGGUGCCAUAUCUAUGUUGUGUCAGGUGAUAGGCUGGGUGAGAACUCAGAAGGACAGGAGUAAAAAUACAAGCAUUGGAAGGGAACAUUCACCAAAUUGUGGGCAUUGGAGUCAUUGCUGGAGAAAAGAUGGCUGCUGAUACAAUGUUUCAGUGGUACAAGAAGUCAGGGCAAGCAGUGGGAGAAUGUAUUUUGCCUCAUGAGGAAGCUUCGAGCGACUUCGGAAAAUGAAGUGCUCCGAGUGCCAUCCUGCUGGCAGGAGGCAGUUCGGGGAGAUUAGUCAACCCCGAAGAAGAGGAGAUUUGUCGCUGGGCGAUAUAUUUGUGAGCCUGAAGUGCCUCAUCCUCAACAGAAAAAAGUUUGUGUAUUGUACAGAUAGUACAUAUUUUGCAAAGUAGGGCUAAUUCACAAACAGAAAAGUGCAAAGCAGACAACUGUGACUAUCCAAGUGCUAUUCACAAGGGUACAUAUGUCAGUACAAAGCUUGAUCUUCUAAACUGCUUUGAUGAAUAAGGUUCAAAGUACACGGUGCAUGAACUCAAGGGAGCCCUGGAUUUAACACCUGUCUUGAUGAGGUGGUACUUACAGGGUUAUCUUCAGGGUUAUUGUACACAGUGUUUUUCGUUGGCGCACAUAUUGACAUGCUAGAAAUGAUGAAAUCCGCACAACCCUCUGACACAACAAAACAUAAAAGCAACUUGCAUGUGACUUAACAAAGUAGACACAUUUUAUCAUUUGCACUUAUAAAUCACACAGAACUUGAGGUGCAUGCUUCUCAGCAAGAAUUCGGGGAAAUAAUGUUGCAUUUUGUGUAAUAUAACAUGGCAAUUUAUGCCCUGAGUCCCCAGUACAUAAUAAAUCUCCCUGCUGAGAAAACGUAUAUGCUGAAAACCACCAUCAUGCAAGUUUUCAAAAAUACCCUAUGCACCAGAAAAAUUCACAAUAAUAUUACAAUCAAAAAUUACGAUUUUUGUCACUAACAAUACACUGAAAUAUGACUUCUAAAAGGCUUCUUUUGUUACAUUGACUUACCUGUCCCAAACAUUUCCAAAUGGCUGACUCUCAUGUAAAGUAAGCCACUCUAAAACAAGAAAAAAACAUAUAAAUGUUUGUUUUUAUAUUUAGCAAGAAACAUAAACAUUACUAUAUAACAAUGCUAAGAAUGAACAGUAUUGCAUGAUCUGUUUGAGGUUGUGAUGCCAUCCAUUUCAUUUUUCCCAUUAUUGUCUCUUCCAUUAGGGCUCAUUUACAAGCAACCUGUUAAAUGCAGUGUAUAAAAACCAAUUUUGAGUACAACAUUUUUGAUAAUUCUGGCGUCACUGUGGUCUUGAUGGGACAACACACGUGAUACAAUUGUGAUUGAUGAAUAGAAACUUGCACUGUUACCUGCGCUUUUCAUCAUCUUUGGACACAAUUGAGCUGAAAAUAUUUAGAGGUCUAUUAAUCAAAGGUUGUAUUUUAGUGGUUUUAGAGGUUUCUACUCAUCUGUGACUUUCAAAGCCUAUUCCAUCAUAUCCCUAAUAGUAAGUGUGAAAUGCUGCAAUUUCAUAUUUUCAUCAACCAAAAGCAUGAGUGUGCAACAAGAAAACACAAUACCCCAUUAUCAGUGUAUUUAUAGCUAGACAUAAAUGGUUUACUUCCAUGUAAGAGGUCAGAUAAGCCUACAGACUUUUCUUUACUAAACUGCCUGACGUCAUGUUCAUAAGACCUGCAAUAAAAAACAUAUUAUAGAAAAUAUACCCAUAAUUAUAAAGUAUAAUUAAAGUAUCUUAAUAAUGAAUUGCAUUGUUCAAGCAAUUCUUUUGUAGAGAUGAGGGAAGAACUUGAAAACAUGAAACAUUCAGUUCUGCAUUUAAAACACUGAAUUGAAUCCAGUGAAACAGUCUUCAGUCACAAAGGAAAGGAAACAAUUAGAAUCCAUUUUUUUCUAACCCCCUUCUUCCUGUUGAAUAUUUUUGCAGGCUUGUUUGCUUGUCUAGUAAACGCUUACUGCAAAGGUAAUCAGUGAUCUGUUUUACAUUAGCUCGCCUGCUCCAGGGAGGCUCAUGAAGGAUUUCAUUAGCAGCUCCUCCACUAGAACCUGUGUUUUUAUUGAGAUUGUUUAUCUUUCUUAUGCCUUAGGGCUUGUGGGUCAGAAACCAGGGGUGGGGGGUUGCACUACUUCAGAAUUCCCUCCAACAAUCCUUUGCUUCCUACAAUAAUAAGUACAUAAAUAUAUCUAGCUUUACGUGAGCUAGUACUGUAUAUGCUUGCAUGUCAUAAUGGAUCAAACAACUGUGCCCAUAUUUGUGCACUAUUUGUAAUUCAUGCUUUCAUGUAUGUAUCAUGCACAAUUGUGUGUGUUUGUUUGGGGGAAUGCAAAAAGUAUAAAUAGUCUGGAAUAUGCUUCAGAAACAGUGGGGAAACUACCCUGUCAUACAAUAUUGCAAAUAUUUACAUGGUUUCUUGUUGGAACUGUUUCAAGCGGCCUGAGGUAAAUUUAUUUUUCAAUGUUACCAAAAUUAGAUCACAAGAUCCAUAAGCCAAGAAGUAGUUCUGCACACAGCAAAACAGAGAAGAAGGAGGGAAUAAUCUUAAUGUGAGUUAGGGGUCCCCAGUACAAUUCCUAGCAUCUGAUAGUAAACAGACUUGGACCAAUAAGCAUGUAAUUUUUAACAUGGAGAUUAAUGCUGCCUGGAGUGUUGAAAACUGUGUGUGUCUGCAGACCAAAGUUUGACUGCAGCAGGUGAAGGGUGUAUUAUCCAACCUGGAAUGAGCAAUUGUUGUCAAUGAUUGCAAUGGUUGUUUCAGAGGCUUUAAUGUCACUUUUGUGGCCUACUUAUAAAAUCAGCUUUUAAAGUGCUUACAACUUAUAGAAUCCAUGCAACCCCUCCUCUUUACCUUUUCACGCGUGUCUAGUCCCUCACAGCCGGUGACUUUUCAAAUCACAGCCACUGCCUCUGCUGCUAAUAGUUUCUGUCUUGCAGUUCUUUACCUCUAGAACUCUUCAUUUCUUCCCAAGGCCAGUGUCACACUUGCCAUUUUCCUUGCUGACAUAGAUAGUAAAUGUUGAUCAGCAUCAGUAUGCAUCUUUGCUGGAAAUCAGCCUGUGUGUGCUGACGGCUGAUCCCAUGCCGCCAGUGCCUACACAAGACAUGGUAGACAUGAUCAGAUCGGCCUUCUCUCCACUGGAAGAGAAAACUCCAAGUUUGACACUGGCCUAAGAAACUCCCCCUCAGUCUCUUUAAUCCUAAACUCAUCUCAAUUAUCUCCUGAAACACUAAGUGGGGCAGAUUUAUCAAAAUGUGAAAUUAGAACUCACAACAGAAAAACUCACUCACUU